RNAcentral lists this unclassified non-coding RNA (821 nucleotides) under Hevea brasiliensis (rubber tree). Lineage: Eukaryota; Viridiplantae; Streptophyta; Magnoliopsida; Malpighiales; Euphorbiaceae. The record is from RNAcentral.
UUUCUCUCAAGAACCUCUUUUUUCUACUGCUGUUUUGGGGCGAUUCAUUUGUUCAUCAUUUGUCUAAAUUGGGUUGCAUUUCCGGUCCUUCUGCCUCUUCUUUCAACUGGAGGCAAUGUCGCAAGGUUACGCAAUUGAGCUCUACUUUGAUCCUGCACUUGAAAACCAGGUCUUGAAAGCCUGGAAUGUAUUGGCUCGGCGCCAGAUUAGCACUCAGCUUAUUGAAAUUGAGUCUAGACCUCACAUUACCCUCUUCUCGAGUCCGUUUCUUGAUCCAUCGAAGAUUGAGAACAUUGUAAAGAAUUUUUCGUCCAAGCAAGAAUCAUUGCCUCUGUCCUUUGGUUCAAUUGGAAGCCUCCCAAGUGACGACAAUGUUCUAUUUCUUGCCCCAACUCCAACUUUGUCUCUCCUUCAGUUCCACUCACAACUGUAUGAUGCUAUGAAAAAGGAGGGCAUUGAGAUUGCGGAGGAGCAUCGUCCUGAUACAUGGAUUCCUUAUUGCCCAGUAGCUGACGAAGUGCCUAAAACUCGUAUGGGUGAGGCAUUCACUGUUUUGAGGGAUCUGAAAUUACCUGUUGCUGGAUAUGCUACGGAAAUUGCACUUGUUGAGUAUCCACCAGUUCGUGAAGCAUUUUCUUUUGUGCUUGGUAAUACAGUUGAACCAUGAGGCUUCAGGCAUGUAAUUGUGUUGAUUUUAGUUUAGGUUUUUACCUUCUGUUUCCUACAUAGUUGCUGUUUUAGAACCUGAUAUAGAUGGUUAAGAGUGCUAUUGUCGUUGCUAAAUCGUCAUCUGCUUUGAUGAAAUAUUGAGGUCAUUUCUG